Molecule: long non-coding RNA, 212 nt
Filed under: Capsicum annuum
Lineage: Eukaryota; Viridiplantae; Streptophyta; Magnoliopsida; Solanales; Solanaceae
Description: long non-coding RNA (CANN_LNC018959)
Source: RNAcentral
GCUCUUUUAUGAUAGACAAUGCCUUCUUACAGAGAAAAUUCCCGUAGGAAUGAUAUUUAUCCACCUCAGCCCACAUAUCCUUUGAAUAAGAAUGUGUCACAUGUAGAGUUCCGGGCUACUUUUUAGGUGCUAGCCCAAGCUGUGAAAGCAAAUAUUCAGGGUAAUCGUCAGGCUACAGCCCCACCUUAGUAAAAUGCAGACUUAGCCGCUGC